RNAcentral lists this ribosomal RNA (286 nucleotides) under uncultured bacterium. RNAcentral describes it as "partial 16S ribosomal RNA". It matches the Rfam family "Bacterial small subunit ribosomal RNA", at positions 775 to 1067 of the family's 1533-position model. The record is from RNAcentral.
GGAUUAGAUACCCUGGUAGUCCACGCUGUAAACGAUGUAUGCUAGGUGUCGGCCUUAGGGCCGGUGCUGGAGCUAACGCGUUAAGCAUACCACCUGGGGAGUACGUCGGCAACGAUGAAACUCAAAGGAAUUGACGGGGGCCCGCACAAGCGGUGGAGCAUGUGGCUUAAUUCGAUGCAACGCGAAGAACCUUACCCAGGCUAAAUCCAUGAUGCUACCCUCAGAGAUGAGGGGUUCCUUCGGGACGUUAUGGAAGGUGCUGCAUGGCUGUCGUCAGCUCGUGCCG